GACGAACGCUGGCGGCGUGCUUAACACAUGCAAGUCGAACGGAAAGGCCCCCUUGUGGGGUACUCGAGUGGCGAACGGGUGAGUAACACGUGAGUAACCUACCCUUGACUUUGGGAUAACUUCAGGAAACUGGGGCUAAUACCGGAUAGGAGCUCCUGCUGCAUGGUGGGGGUUGGAAGUUUCGGCGGUUGGGGAUGGACUCGCGGCUUAUCAGCUUGUUGGUGGGGUAGUGGCUCACCAAGGCUUUGACGGGUAGCCGGCCUGAGAGGGUGACCGGCCACAUUGGGACUGAGAUACGGCCCAGACUCCUACGGGAGGCAGCAGUGGGGAAUAUUGCACAAUGGGCGGAAGCCUGAUGCAGCAACGCCGCGUGCGGGAUGACGGCCUUCGGGUUGUAAACCGCUUUCGCCUGUGACGAAGCGUGAGUGACGGUAAUGGGUAAAGAAGCACCGGCUAACUACGUG
Molecule: ribosomal RNA, 464 nt
Filed under: uncultured bacterium
Lineage: Bacteria
Description: partial 16S ribosomal RNA
Rfam family: Bacterial small subunit ribosomal RNA
Source: RNAcentral